UCCACGCCCUAAACGAUGCGAACUGGAUGUUGGGCUCACUUCGGAGCUCAGUAUCGAAGCUAACGCGUUAAGUUCGCCGCCUGGGGAGUACGGUCGCAAGACUGAAACUCAAAGGAAUUGACGGGGGCCCGCACAAGCGGUGGAGUAUGUGGUUUAAUUCGAUGCAACGCGCAGAACCUUACCUGGCCUUGACAUCCACGGAACUUUCCAGAGAUGGAUU
This 220-nucleotide ribosomal RNA is filed under the name uncultured bacterium. RNAcentral's name for it is "partial 16S ribosomal RNA". It matches the Rfam family "Bacterial small subunit ribosomal RNA", at positions 794 to 1012 of the family's 1533-position model. The record is from RNAcentral.